UUCAAAGCUGUGAACAAGACAUGACUUUAAGCAAACCUGGUCAUAGAGAGUAUCAAAUUUGGUGAAAUGAUAACGAUGGUCCUUAGAGCUAUCCCUUGUGAGCCAAUCAUUUGAAAUAAUAGUAAAAUGAUUCGUCCUUCGCGUUAAGAAGUUCUAAGUGGCAACAAAGAUGUUGCAAACUAAGUGGUACCGCGGAAUAAUAUUAGAUUUCGUCUUAGAU
RNAcentral lists this non-coding RNA (220 nucleotides) under Holdemanella biformis. RNAcentral describes it as "Eubacterium biforme T-box sequence". It matches the Rfam family "T-box leader". Rfam says of the family: Uncharged tRNA acts as the effector for transcription antitermination of genes in the T-box leader family. Lineage: Bacteria; Bacillati; Bacillota; Erysipelotrichia; Erysipelotrichales; Erysipelotrichaceae. The record is from RNAcentral.